This 102-nucleotide small nuclear RNA is filed under the name Pteropus vampyrus (large flying fox). The record is from RNAcentral. Lineage: Eukaryota; Metazoa; Chordata; Mammalia; Chiroptera; Pteropodidae.
GUGCUCACUUUGGCAGCACAUAUACGAAAAUUGGAACGAUACAGAGAUUAGCAUGGCUCCUGCGAGGAUAGCACGCAAAUUCGUGAAGUGUUCCAUAUGUUU